AUGACAUAUUACGGUCAGCUUGUGGCCUGAUAGGAUACUGCUGCAAGCUACAGCCAAUACAUUCACUUCAAGGGAGAAGGCCAAAAUGGCUGCUAGAAUUUUGAAAGCCUCAACUGGCCUUACAGGUCUACCUGUAUCACAAAACCCAAGAAAGAUGUUGUUGCAUCUCUAUGGUUUGACCUUUGAAUCACUGGAAAAAAUGCCAGCCAGUGCCGCAUAUAGAAAAAACACAGAAAAAAUUUUAAAACAUAGGGUAGAUAUAGUUAAAUCUACUGAAGACAUCAUUCAGAUAGAAAAGAAAAUUAAUUGUGGUCAAAUAGAAGAAAUUAUUGUACAGGCAAAAAAUGAACUAUCACUUGCCAGGCGUAUGUUAAUAUGGCAACCAUGGGAACCACUCCUAGGAGAUGCUCCGAAGGAUCAGUGGAAAUGGCCUAUUUAACAAAUAAAAGUCCACAAACUGGGUUCAUACAAUUUUUUUUUUUUUUUUUUUUUUUUUUUAAUGUGUAAGUUAGCAGCAGAACUCUCAGAUUCUGGUGUGAAGGGAAUCAUGGAAGAGCGGACGCUUCCUACCUUCAUUUUAUAGCAAGGAUUAUUUUUCACCCUGUUUGCACGUAAUGGUUACCUCAGGAGAACCUGUUUGGUGCACAGUAUGAAGUACUAUGUGAGCUACAGUAAUGAAUGUUGCUAAGCACUCUACAUGAUUAGUAUUAAACACUGUGUUUGUUUUAUUAA
Molecule: unclassified non-coding RNA, 732 nt
Filed under: Lingula anatina
Lineage: Eukaryota; Metazoa; Brachiopoda; Lingulata; Lingulida; Lingulidae
Description: nADH dehydrogenase [ubiquinone] 1 alpha subcomplex subunit 5, transcript variant X1
Source: RNAcentral